This 497-nucleotide ribosomal RNA is filed under the name uncultured bacterium. Its description in RNAcentral is "partial 16S ribosomal RNA". It matches the Rfam family "Bacterial small subunit ribosomal RNA", at positions 28 to 507 of the family's 1533-position model. The record is from RNAcentral.
GAUGAACGCUGGCGGCGUGCCUAAUACAUGCAAGUCGAGCGAACAGACGAGGAGCUUGCUCCUCUGACGUUAGCGGCGGACGGGUGAGUAACACGUGGAUAACCUACCUAUAAGACUGGGAUAACUUCGGGAAACCGGAGCUAAUACCGGAUAAUAUAUUGAACCGCAUGGUUCAAUAGUGAAAGACGGUUUUGCUGUCACUUAUAGAUGGAUCCGCGCCGCAUUAGCUAGUUGGUAAGGUAACGGCUUACCAAGGCAACGAUGCGUAGCCGAACUGAGAGGGUGAUCGGCCACACUGGAACUGAGACACGGUCCAGACUCCUACGGGACGCAGCAGUAGGGAAUCUUCCGCAAUGGGCGAAAGCCUGACGGAGCAACGCCGCGUGAGUGAUGAAGGUCUUCGGAUCGUAAAACUCUGUUAUUAGGGAAGAACAAAUGUGUACGUAACUAUGCACGUCUUGACGGUACCUAAUCAGAAAGCCACGGCUAACUACGUG